Regulatory RNA element from Paenisporosarcina sp. HGH0030, 42 nucleotides. It matches the Rfam family "Ribosomal protein L19 leader". Rfam says of the family: This family is a putative r-protein leader autoregulatory structure found in B. subtilis and other low-GC Gram-positive bacteria. It is located in the 5' untranslated regions of mRNAs encoding ribosomal protein L19 (rplS). Lineage: Bacteria; Bacillati; Bacillota; Bacilli; Caryophanales; Caryophanaceae. The record is from Rfam.
ACGGUGUUCCGCUGCAGCCAUAGUCGCUGGCAUGAGCAUCUG